AGAAUGCUCAGGGGGAAUUCAGGGAUGAGAAAUUUGAUGGUUGCAGUUCUAUAGUCUUUAUCAGACCAUCAAGGCUGGAAUGGAAAGAUAGCAGUUAUCAUCUCCAAGAGUUCUGUCAUCUUGAUCAACCUUCAAGAGAAAAUCAUUGCAAGACAGCCUCUGGUGCUUGUUCACGUAUGAGUGAGAAUGAGAUGCAGCCAUCAAACAAGAGGCACAUUCCUUCAGACGUCUUCCAAAUGGCUCAAGGGAGCUGCUGCUGCUGCUGACCUACUGAACUACAUUCAAUCCAGAUGAGAAACUGGAGAACAUGGAGGUUUUGCAAUUUGAGCUGAGCCACGCGGGAGCUCUUUGGCAGAAGAGGCGGCCUGGCCUCCCGAGGGAGCUGAGCAACAGCUACACCAGGAGGGAACCCUGCACAGGAGACAAGGACUUCCAAAAUGCCAUCGGGGACUACCAGAAAGCACCUCAGCAAACACCCCAAAACACAGGAAGGAGCUGCAGAAAGCCAGUGUGAGGAUCCAAAGAACAACAUCCCAGGUGGCUGUUAAGCUAAUAGGGAGCAUCCUGCAAAUCUUCAGCAAUGAGCAUGGAAGGAAGAGUACAGGAAAAGACGGCAAGAAGAGAUUACUGCCUUCAUUAAAUCUUGAGAUGAAGCCACUCGCAGCAGCAGAGCAGGUGGGGCAGACGGCACUGGUGGAGCUCAGGCACCCGUGCAUGCUGCAGCUGCAGAGGAGGGGAGCCAUCCAUGCCAAGUGACAAGCCUACCUCAGUGUCCCCUGGCCAGCCCCACAGCUGCUGGAAAUCUGGGUCCCAGCUUCAGACAGCCGUCUGCCAUCCGCUUUGGCCAGACACCGAGACGCUGCGAGUUGGCUGGUGUUGCUGUCAUGAGCAAAGG
This is a long non-coding RNA of Myiozetetes cayanensis, 895 nucleotides long. RefSeq lists it as uncharacterized. The transcript has 8 exons. Lineage: Eukaryota; Metazoa; Chordata; Aves; Passeriformes; Tyrannidae. The record is from RefSeq and is a predicted model, not a curated record.